GAUGAACGCUGGCGGCGUGCUUAACACAUGCAAGUCGAACGAUGAAGCCCAGCUUGCUGGGUGGAUUAGUGGCGAACGGGUGAGUAACACGUGAGUAACCUGCCCUUGACUCUGGGAUAAGCCCGGGAAACUGGGUCUAAUACCGGAUAGGAGCGCCUGUCGCAUGACGGGUGCUGGAAAGAUUUUUCGGUCAUGGAUGGACUCGCGGCCUAUCAGCUUGUUGGUGGGGUAAUGGCUCACCAAGGCGACGACGGGUAGCCGGCCUGAGAGGGUGACCGGCCACACUGGGACUGAGACACGGCCCAGACUCCUACGGGAGGCAGCAGUGGGGAAUAUUGCACAAUGGGCGGAAGCCUGAUGCGGCGACGCCGCGUGAGGGAUGACGGCCUUCGGGUUGUAAACCUCUUUCAGUAGGGAAGAAGCGGAAGUGACGGUACCUGCAGAAGAAGCACCGGCUAACUACGUG
This 466-nucleotide ribosomal RNA is filed under the name uncultured bacterium. Its description in RNAcentral is "partial 16S ribosomal RNA". It matches the Rfam family "Bacterial small subunit ribosomal RNA", at positions 28 to 507 of the family's 1533-position model. The record is from RNAcentral.